RNAcentral lists this long non-coding RNA (278 nucleotides) under Elaeis guineensis (African oil palm). RNAcentral's name for it is "long non-coding RNA (EGUI_LNC018289)". The record is from RNAcentral. Lineage: Eukaryota; Viridiplantae; Streptophyta; Magnoliopsida; Arecales; Arecaceae.
UUGCUCAAGAUUUUACUUUUGAAUGGAUAUUAGAACAAAGAAAUUUGACUCAACAUUUUAUUUACAUAAUUAAUCUUCUAUUCAUAAAAUUGCAGUUAAUAUAUUGCUGAGGGCACAGUCGAGCCACACAUAGUGGCUAUGCAUAGUGCAUAAUACACAUGGGCACGGCGACGGCGGCGACGGCAAUGGCGGUAGAUCUACAGGAAGAAGGAUCAUGAGAGAGAGAGAGCUGAAGAGAGAGAGAGAACCAUACCUAAGAUCUCAAGAGAGAGGGAGAG